Passer domesticus (house sparrow) is the source of this 313-nucleotide long non-coding RNA. RefSeq lists it as uncharacterized. Lineage: Eukaryota; Metazoa; Chordata; Aves; Passeriformes; Passeridae. The record is from RefSeq and is a predicted model, not a curated record. The transcript is spliced from 4 exons.
AGAAGUGCUGACUGCGCUCUGCCUGUGCAGUGACAGCUCUGAGAUAAAGCCCACGAGGUUUAGUCCAGUGCAUGUGGCUGAAGAGAGCAGCUGGAUCUGUACACCCUGCAGAGCCUUAGUGCUUUGGAGUAUGGCUAGUCCAUAAUUCAUCUGUAGAACUUGCUGCCAGACCUCAGUGAUGGAGAAAGCACAAAGAGUUCAAUGCCCUGUGUAUGAAUUCCUUCCUGUGUGAGGUGUGCUGAUGCAAAUACAUCCUUGCAGUUAAGGGCCACCUCUCAUCCUUUGUGAUGCUAGUGGGGUCACCAGAAGUUGG